Long non-coding RNA from Cynoglossus semilaevis (tongue sole), 407 nucleotides. RefSeq lists it as uncharacterized. The transcript is spliced from 3 exons. The record is from RefSeq and is a predicted model, not a curated record. Lineage: Eukaryota; Metazoa; Chordata; Actinopteri; Pleuronectiformes; Cynoglossidae.
CAGGGACCUCCGGAGCGUACAGGACCGAUACACCUCUCCAGCCGAAACACAACAGCCAUACGCAGCUGAUACUGACAUUUCUGAUCCAGAUACCUGAUGACUGCUUCAGCCGCCUGUAGGUGACUGGGUGAACUACAGCCAGAUUCCAAUAAGGAAGACGGGAACUCCGACCAGACCGCUCAGCUCUAUGGCCACCAGGUGGUACGUGAACACGUCGCUGUGGCUCCCAGAUUUGAAGGAAUGCCCGUGUUUGAAACGAUGGAGUCCAUGGAGGAGGACAAGGACACAGAGAGGGAAUAAGGCCAAGGUUUUGAUGAUGUUGUCUGGUUUUACAGCUGAAACAGGCGAAGACUCCCGCUCUGUGCAGAUACUGCAGAGGAACCAGGGCGCUGCAGGGAAGACAGAAC